RNAcentral lists this ribosomal RNA (327 nucleotides) under Triticum aestivum (bread wheat). RNAcentral's name for it is "partial small subunit ribosomal RNA". Lineage: Eukaryota; Viridiplantae; Streptophyta; Magnoliopsida; Poales; Poaceae. The record is from RNAcentral.
GAAUUUGCAAGGGUGCAAGAGGCAGCCCGAAAAGACAUUGAAAGAGCAUUCGGAGUUUUGCAAUCUGGGUUUGCCAUUGUCCAAGGUCCUGCUCGUUUUUGGGAUAAGAAAACCCUGAAGAACAUCAUGACUUGCUGUGUUAUCCUGCACAAUAUGAUUCUUGAAGAUGAGAGAGGAAUGGACUUAGAAUUCUUUUACGAUAAUGUGGGUAGCCGUGUCAAACCAGCUAGAGACCCAAACCACAUUAGAGCUUUUCUUCAGACAUACAAGGAGAUUGAAAAUGCAGACACACACUUUCAACUUCAGAAAGAUCUCAUUGAGCACCAU